RNAcentral lists this ribosomal RNA (341 nucleotides) under uncultured bacterium. RNAcentral describes it as "bacterial SSU rRNA". It matches the Rfam family "Bacterial small subunit ribosomal RNA", at positions 32 to 365 of the family's 1533-position model. The record is from RNAcentral.
AAUCAACGCUGGCGGCGUGCCUCAGACAUGCAAGUCGAACGAUUAAAGCUCUCUUCGGAGAGUGUAUAGAGUGGCGCACGGGUGAGUAACACGUAAGUAAUCUACCCUCGAGUGGGGAAUAACGUCCGGAACGGACGCUAAUACCGCAUAAUGCAGCGGCACCGCAAGGUGACAGUUGUUAAAGGAGUAAUUCGCUUGAGGAGGAGCUUGCGGCAGAUUAGCNGUUGGUAAGGUAACGGCUUACCAAGGCUACGAUCUGUAUCCGGUCUUAGAGGACGGUCGGACACACUGACACUGAAUAACGGGUCAGACUCCUACGGGAGGCAGCAGUCGGGAAUUUU